ACGUAGGGUGCAAGCGUUAAUCGGAAUUGCUGGGCGUAAAGCGUGCGCAGGCGGUUGUGCAAGACAGAGGUGAAAUCCCCGGGCUCAACCUCGGAACUGCAUUUGUGACUGCAUCGCUGGAGUGUGUCAGAGGGGGGUGGAAUUCCGCGUGUAGCAGUGAAAUGCGUAGAGAUGUGGAGGAACACCAAUGGCGAAGGCAGCCUUCUGGGCCAACACUGACGCUCAUGCACGAAAGCGUGGGGAGCAAACAGGA
RNAcentral lists this ribosomal RNA (253 nucleotides) under uncultured prokaryote. RNAcentral's name for it is "partial 16S ribosomal RNA". It matches the Rfam family "Bacterial small subunit ribosomal RNA", at positions 525 to 777 of the family's 1533-position model. The record is from RNAcentral.